RNAcentral lists this long non-coding RNA (635 nucleotides) under Lonchura striata (white-rumped munia). Its description in RNAcentral is "domestica (Bengalese finch) lncRNA (ENSLSDG00000006429.1)". Lineage: Eukaryota; Metazoa; Chordata; Aves; Passeriformes; Estrildidae. The record is from RNAcentral.
CCUACUUGUCUUGGUCUAGUCCAGUCCAUCACACAUCCUGGCUCAGUUCACUUCCUCACUGCUUCUACUCCAGAGCAAGGAGGCGGAUAGAUUCCUAACUAAGAAUGUUUGGAAGACAGUGUGGCCCACUUCACCCUGCCAAGAAACCUGUAACUUCUGGUCACCAGAGCUCUUUGUGUUCAUUCCUUUCCUCCAUAUGGUCUGUGAAGAGGGACUGGAGAAGAGGAGGGAUCAGAAAUUAAAGGUAUCUGUCUUUUACACUUCUUUGUAUAUUUACAAUGUAUAUGAAGAUGACACACUGGCAAAACCAGCUACAUUUCAAGCAUGGCACUGAAGUACCAUGAGUGCCAAAAGAAAACCUAUUGUCAAGCACUAGUGUGAAGUGUGUUGUAAGUGGAUGUCAUGGUCAGUCAUUGUGGAUGUCAUGGGUCAUGUACCCCUCAGUCACACUCCCCAGUUACUGCAAAAAUAACUGGUACCCUCUCUUGCAUUUUUAAAUGAUUUUUUUGUGUUCUAGAAAUGGUUCAUGGGAGAUACUGCCAUGGCUCAGUGCCUUAAAUAGUAGCCAUAAAAAAAAGGACAUGCAAAGAUUGAAUCCUUGGUGGGAGAUAAAAAUCAUGAUCCAUCAAAUUAGA